Molecule: ribosomal RNA, 490 nt
Filed under: uncultured bacterium
Lineage: Bacteria
Description: partial 16S ribosomal RNA
Rfam family: Bacterial small subunit ribosomal RNA
Source: RNAcentral
AAUGAACGCUGGCGGCAUGCCUUACACAUGCAAGUCGAACGGCAGCAUGACCUAGCUUGCUAGGUUGAUGGCGAGUGGCGAACGGGUGAGUAAUGCAUCGGAACGUGCCUUUUAGUGGGGGAUAACGUAGCGAAAGUUACGCUAAUACCGCAUAUUCUCUGAGGAGGAAAGCAGGGGACCUUCGGGCCUUGCGCUAGAAGAGCGGCCGAUGUCGGAUUAGCUAGUUGGUGAGGUAAAGGCUCACCAAGGCAACGAUCCGUAGCGGGUCUGAGAGGAUGAUCCGCCACACUGGGACUGAGACACGGCCCAGACUCCUACGGGAGGCAGCAGUGGGGAAUUUUGGACAAUGGGCGCAAGUCUGAUCCAGCCAUGCCGCGUGAGUGAAGAAGGCCUUCGGGUUGUAAAGCUCUUUCGGCUGGGAAGAAAUCGCACCCUCUAAUACAGGGUGUGGAUGACGGUACCAGCAUAAGAAGCACCGGCUAACUACGUG